GCGAAGUUGAAAUGUUUGUGAUGAUGCAAUCUACCCGCGGCUAGACGGAAAGACCCCAUGAACCUUUACUGUAGCUUUGCAUUGGACUUUGAAUCAAUCUGUGUAGGAUAGGUGGGAGGCUUUGAAGCGGGGACGCCAGUUCUCGUGGAGCCAUCCUUGAAAUACCACCCUGGUUCAUUUGAGGUUCUAACCUUGGCCCGUUAUCCGGGUCGGGGACAGUGCAUGGUAGGCAGUUUGACUGGGGCGGUCUCCUCCUAAAGUGUAACGGAGGA
Molecule: ribosomal RNA, 272 nt
Rfam family: Bacterial large subunit ribosomal RNA